This 205-nucleotide ribosomal RNA is filed under the name uncultured bacterium. RNAcentral describes it as "partial 16S ribosomal RNA". It matches the Rfam family "Bacterial small subunit ribosomal RNA", at positions 524 to 729 of the family's 1533-position model. The record is from RNAcentral.
UACGUAGGGGGCAAGCGUUGUCCGGAUUUAUUGGGCGUAAAGAGCGUGUAGGCGGCUUUGCAAGUCCGUUGUGAAAACUCGAGCUCAACCUCGAGACGCCGGUGGAAACUGCAAAGCUAGAGUCCGGAAGAGGCGAGUGGAAUCCUGGUGUAGCGGUGGAAAUGCGCAGAUAUCAGGAGGAACACCAAUUGCGAAGGCAGCUCGC